Molecule: ribosomal RNA, 253 nt
Filed under: uncultured bacterium
Lineage: Bacteria
Description: partial 16S ribosomal RNA
Rfam family: Bacterial small subunit ribosomal RNA
Source: RNAcentral
UACGUAGGGUGCAGGCGUUAAUCGGAAUUACUGGGCGUAAAGCGUGCGCAGGCGGUUCGCUAAGACAGGUGUGAAAUCCCCGGGCUUAACCUGGGAACUGCGCUUGUUACUGGCAGGCUUGAGUGUGGCAGAGGGGGGUGGAAUUCCACGUGUAGCAGUGAAAUGCGUAGAGAUGUGGAGGAACACCGAUGGCGAAGGCAGCCCCCUGGGCUAACACUGACGCUCAUGCACGAAAGCGUGGGGAGCAAACAGG